Long non-coding RNA from Clupea harengus (Atlantic herring), 1035 nucleotides. The record is from Ensembl. NCBI's taxonomy places the organism in Eukaryota, Metazoa, Chordata, Actinopteri, Clupeiformes, Clupeidae.
UCUCCCUCUCUCUCUACCUCUCCCUCGAUUUCUCCCUCUCCUUCCCUCUCUCUCCCUCCAUCCAUCUCUCUCCUCUCUUUCUCCAUCCAUCUCUUCCUCUCUCCCUCUCUCCAUCUCUCCCUCUCUCUCUCCCUCCAUCCAUCUCUCUCCUCUCUUUCUCUCUCUUCCUCCAUCCAUCUCUUCCUCUCUCUCCCUCUCUCUCCCUCCAUCCAUCUCUCUCCUCUCUUUCUCCAUCCAUCUCUCUCCCUCUCUCUCUACCUCUCCCUCUAUCUCUUUCUCUCUCUCCCUCUCUCUCUCUCUCUCUCUCUCUCUCUCUCUCUCUCCCUCCUCUUUCUAUAUUCCCUCCCAAGCUGUGUUGGUGUGAUUGACACACUGCAUGCAUGUUGUUGAAUGUGUUAUUAGUGUGUGUGUGUGUGUUUGUGUGUGUGUGAAUGUGUUAUUAGUGUGUGUGUGUGUGUGUUUGUGUGUGUGUGAAUGUGUUAUUAGUGUGUGUGUGUGUGUGUGUGUGUGAAUGUUGUGUGUGUGUUUGUGUGUGUGAAUGUGUUAUUAGUGUGUGUGUGUGUGAAUGUGUUAUUAGUGUGUGUGUGUGUGUGUGUGUUUGUGUGUGUGAAUGUGUUAUUAGUGUGUGUGUGUGUGUGAAUGUGUUAUUAGUGUGUGUGUGUGUGAAUGUGUUAUUAGUGUGUGUGUGUGUUUGUGUUUGUGUGUGUGUGAAUGUGUUAUUAGUGUGUGUGUGUGUGUGUGUGAAUGUGUUAUUAGUAUGUGUGUGUAUGUGUGUGUGAAUGUGUUAUUAGUGUGUGUGUGUGUGUGAAUGUGUUAUUAGUGUGUGUGUGUGUGUACCUGGGUAAAUGUGUGUGUGUAUGUGUGUAAGUGAGUGAACGUGUGUGUGUGUGUGUAAGUGAGUGAAUGUGUGUGUAAGUGAGUGAACGUGUGUGUGUGUAAGUGAGUGAAUGUGUGUGUAAGCGAGUGAAUGUGUGUGUGUGUGUGUAAGUGAGUGAAUGUGUGUGUGUGUGUGUGUGUGUGUGUGUGUGUGUGUGU